UACGUAGGGUGCAAGCGUUGUCCGGAAUUAUUGGGCGUAAAGAGCUUGUAGGCGGUUUGUCGCGUCUGCUGUGAAAUUUCGGGGCUCAACCCCGAACUUGCAGUGGGUACGGGCAGACUAGAGUGUGGUAGGGGAGACUGGAAUUCCUGGUGUAGCGGUGAAAUGCGCAGAUAUCAGGAGGAACACCGAUGGCGAAGGCGGCAUCCUGGACCGGCAUUGACGCUGAGGCGCGAAAGCCAGGGGAGCAAACGGG
Molecule: ribosomal RNA, 253 nt
Filed under: uncultured bacterium
Lineage: Bacteria
Description: partial 16S ribosomal RNA
Rfam family: Bacterial small subunit ribosomal RNA
Source: RNAcentral